Molecule: RNA transcript, 2072 nt
Organism: Musa acuminata AAA Group (dessert banana)
Lineage: Eukaryota; Viridiplantae; Streptophyta; Magnoliopsida; Zingiberales; Musaceae
Exons: 12
Source: RefSeq, a predicted model, not a curated record
AUUGAUGGAAUCAUUGGCUCGAUUCGCUGCAAUUUUUGUCCGUACCCAAAUUAACGAAGACGCCCCCCCAAUCCGGCCCUGGAGGAGUCCGCUUGGAGGCCGACGGAUCCCGCGGCGAGAUGGCGGCUGCCAGCGGCGACGGGGAAGGCGAAAUCCACGUGGUGGAGGUGGCGGAGGAGUCGUCGUCCGCCGACGAGAUCUCCCCCCUCCUGGCGGUGGAGGGUGCCAAUAACAAGCCCCCCAGAAUGACCAUCUUCUCCGUCUCCUGUCCCCGCAGGAAACCCCCCAAGGAACCGACAUGUAGCGUGACAGAUCCAGAGAUUGCUUUUCUUAAUCAGAUCGUUUCGUGGAUAUGGAGUGGGUCUAGACACUCUGGACUGCUAUGCGUGGCGUCAUCUUCAAUUAUCUAUUUCGUAAUGGAUGUUUUGCUAGGCAUUUUCCCAGUCAGAUCAGCUCCAAUAUAUCAGACUGUAUUUACAAGAUGUACAAUACUCUUGAUCAUGUCACUUAUGUGGUUGAAAAGAACUGGGCAACCACUCAUACUACCAACAAAUGCAAGGAAUGUACUAGUUCUGAGAUCCUUAACUGGGUUUGUUUCAUUGCUGAGCUUCAUCUAUAGUGUCCAAAAUCUACCUGUAUCCUAUGCAGUUUUACUGAACUUUGCAACCCCAAUAAUGGCAUCAAUUGGAGCAAUGAUCAUUUUACAGGAGAAGUUAUCUCUUUCACAUAUUGGAGGUUUAACUUGCAGUUUUAUUGGUCUCCUGUUGAUUCUGCAACCUAUUCUUCUUUCAAAAGGGAGUUUGACUGAGACUUUUCAGAUGGACACUGUUGUCACUGAUAGAGGAAAGGAUGUUAUUUUCUCUAUUUUUGUUGGUAUAUUUUCAACAAUUCUGGGUGGAGUUAGCUACUGUCUCAUACGUGCUGGUGCCAUGGCAUCUGAUCAACCUGUGUAUACAGUUUUUUCAUUUGCGAUACUUGCUUGUCCUCUCUCAGCCAUAUGCAUUUUGAUAUUUCAGGAAUUUGUUCUUCCUAAUCUUUUCACUUUUCUUCUGAUGAUGGUGCUAGGUGUAUUAGCAUUCUACGCUGAGAUCCUUUUGGCACGUGGACUUCAGCUCGAGAGGAUUGCCAAAGUCACAAACAUUCAGUACAUAAAGGUGCUCUUAUGGCAGCUGUGGAGCAUGACCUUCUUGGGUGCUGCUCCAUCAUCUUAUAAACUCAUUGGAUGUUUGCUCAUUUUAGCAUCGGUCUGCGGCACCGCUUAUAUGGGACCCGAGAAAGAAAACGAAUGAUCGAGGCUGCGUCAAUUUAGAAGAAUGCUUAGCAAGGCGCAAGAUGCAGUGUUUAUAUAUAUAUAUAUAUAUAUAUAUCCUGCUUCCGCCAAACGGUCACGGAGUUUACAGAAGGAGGCUCGUUAAUCAUUUUGGUUCGUCCAAUGGAGACUAAAGAGAGAAUGUGCCGUAAGCCACUCAAAUCUGGUAUGUGGUUAACUAGCAACAACAGCAAUGGUUCUCGUGUUCCUGUUCGGUCGAAUUUUUUUCUCUCUUUCUUCACUCGGACGCAUCAGAUCCCAUUCAGGAGAAGUUAAAGUUCUAUGGAGGACAAAAAGGAAAAUGAAAAGACUUUGAGCCCUCGAUCUAACGAAAAUAGAUUUGAAUAUAGGUAGGUGGUUGAGUAUUUGAAAGUAUUGAAGGACGCAGAAAGAUGUUAUGAUUAGAGGUUGUAAUAGCAGGAGCCAGAUUACGUGUGAUCGUUGGACUCCUUGUUUCGAUUUUUUUUGUUUUGUUUUGGCACAAAGGAUAAGUGACUGUCAGGCUGAAACGUGAGUGAGUCCGCACUGUUGUGUAUCGUGUGUCAGGUGAUUUACGCGGCCAUCUUGUCAAUCUGACAAGGGACCUGAGUUGGUGUCGGGAUAUCAUAUCAAGCUGACGAGGCACAGGUGUCGGUAUAUUCCCUGAGGCGGUGAUUAGUGCUACGAUCCUCGCCUUAAUUGAUGUUUCAAAAUUAUGCCUCGACGACCCUUUUCUUCUGUACAUUUGGAUUUCCAUCGUGAUAAGCACACAUGCUUCUGAAAA